UGUCAACUAGUUGUNGGNUGUAANUAAGUUUGGUAUCGNAGCUAACGCGUGAAGUUGACCUCUUGGGAAGUACUGUCGCAAGAUUAAAACUCAAAGGAAUUGACGGGGACCCGCACAAGCGGUGGAUUAUGUGGAUUAAUCCGAUGCAACGCGAAAAACCUUACCUAGCCUUGACAUGCUAGAAAAUAUUCAGAGAUGAAUUUGUGCUCGAAAGGGAAUCUAAACACAGGUGCUGCAUGGCUGUCGUCAGCUCGUGUCGUGAGAUGUUGGGUUAAGUCCCGCAACGAGCGCAACCCUUGUCAUUAAUUGCCAUCAUUUUUUUGGGCACUUUAAUGAGACUGCCGGUGACAAACCGGAGAAAGGUGGGGAUGACGUCAAGUCCUCAUGGCCCUUAUGGGUAGGGCUUCACACG
This 412-nucleotide ribosomal RNA is filed under the name uncultured Pseudomonadota bacterium. RNAcentral's name for it is "bacterial SSU rRNA". It matches the Rfam family "Bacterial small subunit ribosomal RNA", at positions 810 to 1222 of the family's 1533-position model. Lineage: Bacteria; Pseudomonadati; Pseudomonadota. The record is from RNAcentral.